GACGAACGCUGGCGGCGUGCUUAACACAUGCAAGUAGAACGAUGAAGAAGAGAAACGCGAACUUCGGUUCAAAUUUCACUUAGGAUUAGUGGCAGACGGGUGAGUAACGCGUGAGCAACCUACCUCUUACAAAGGGAUAGCCUCGGGAAACCGUGAUUAAUACCAUAUGACACAUUCAUAAGGCAUCUUAAGAAUGUUAAAGCUACGGCGGUAAGAGAUGGGCUCGCGUCCCAUUAGCUAGUUGGUGAGGUAACGGCCCACCAAGGCGACGAUGGGUAACCGGCCUGGGAGGGUGAACGGUCACAUUGGAACUGAGUCACGGUCCAAACUCCUACGGGAGGCAGCAGUGGGGAAUAUUGCACAAUGGAGGGAACUCUGAUGCAGCGACGCCGCGUGAGCGAUGAAGGAAUUCGUUUCGUAAAGCUCUGUUCUAUGGGAAGAAAAGGACUGUACCAUAGGAGAGAGCCCCGGCUAAAUACGUG
RNAcentral lists this ribosomal RNA (482 nucleotides) under uncultured bacterium. Its description in RNAcentral is "partial 16S ribosomal RNA". It matches the Rfam family "Bacterial small subunit ribosomal RNA", at positions 28 to 507 of the family's 1533-position model. The record is from RNAcentral.